GUCAGAUGAUAAGACUAUGCAUAAAUAUGCUUCACAGCUUCCUGGGAGAGCUAUUGAUCAGGUAUGGUGCUUGUUUAGAAGUGGGAGGUUAUUCUGUGCACCCUUUCUUCCAUCCACACCACCACAUAGAAACUGUUAUUGCUCUUCCACAGUUUGCUGCCUCCCCCACUCACUUUGCAGAGAGCAGAGUGAAUCCAGAAACCAGUGCUUAUUUAUAUUUACAUAAGGUUUUCAGUUCUACACACCACAAAAGAAAAUCUGCAGCUUUUCCAGCAGAAGAAAGCUGGUUCUUUGGCUUGAUAGAUACCAAACAUCUUUGGCUAACUCGACUGGCUCAGUAUUGAUUUCAGUAACAAAAGCAAUGCCCACUCAUGUUAAAUUAGUCUUGUACUGUAGCCAUUGACCAGAAACAAGGUGAAAUAAAAACUGAUUAAAAAUUAACCCACUUCAUAAAAUUGCUUAACUUUUGUAAAGAACUCUGCAGCCAUUCUUUCUGGCUUGCAGCUUUAAGAGAUAAUUGGUGAUGUGCAGAUUUUAUUUAAAGGCAGCAUGUUCCAAAUAGCUCAUAUGUGAAUGCUUUAAAUUGACACUGCCUUAAAAUGCAAAUUUCAGACUGCCAGUGCCCAAAUGCAGGACUCAGAAUAAGAGAGAUUGUAUGCCUGAUAUGAAAGGGACUCAGGCCUUCAGGAUGUUGCUUGUAACUGGAGGCACAACUCAGAAGGGCUCUGAAGUGGACUGUGGUCUGCAUUUGAGAUAGGAAAGAAGAACCAGUGGAUCCAUGUGAAGCAAGACCUUGAAAAGCUUUAUUAGGACCAGAUUCACUGAGAAUAUUAACCAGCAUCCAUGGAACCAUGAAAGCUCACGUAGACUUCAAAAUCCAAAUAAUUCAGGGCUUUUGUGGCCUUCCAUGAUACAGAAGCUGGGCAGAAAUUUUUUUAAUUGAAUCUGGCACUAAAUAAGCAAAAGAAUUGUAUAAUCAGUGCUUGGUUUAAUAGGAAGCCAGGGAAGCUCUUUAAUAUUAGAGUGAUACGAUGGAAAAGUAUAGUCCUAGAUAAAGUCCUGGCAGCUGAGCCUGGCAGAAAUUUGCCUGCAAGCAAAACUAGCGGGGAGUCCAAAAAACAGGGUAUUGUACUAAUUAACUUGGACAAAACAAGAAUAUGUACCAGAAUCUCAACAUCUUGUCAAAAAAACAUAUACUAUACCUCAGUCUGCAAACGCUGUGAGAAUGCCUAAUGCAGUAUCUUAACAGUAGCACACACACUCAUGCACACCUCUCCACCCUCCAACACUCUCCUCUUUACUCAGAGGGCAAGCCUAUUGAGAAAGCCUUGAACCCCUGAUUUUUUCCUUAUUUGAUUCCUGUUUUUUAGAGCCCUUGCAUUGUGC
Molecule: long non-coding RNA, 1386 nt
Organism: Gavialis gangeticus (Gharial)
Lineage: Eukaryota; Metazoa; Chordata; Crocodylia; Gavialidae
Exons: 3
Source: RefSeq, a predicted model, not a curated record